CACUCAUAGACAUCAUCUCCUCAACAUCAUGUCUUGGACUAUACACAUGAGUGUUGUGCAUCUCUCUCAUUGUUCCCUUGUGUUUGGCAAAAAUGGAGCCGGCCAAUUAUGUUGGCAUGACAAUUUCGGCCAGCCAUUUUCCUCCUCACUUUCUUCCUCCACAAGACUUGCCUCCCACCUAACCCAGUCAUUAAAUGGACAGCCACCCACCUUAGCCAAUCAAAAAAGGAGGCAGCCACCCCUCUCCCUCUAUAAAACCCCCCCUUGGCCGGCCACCUCCACCUUUGGCUCUCAUUUUCCACUCCCCACUCAUUCCCUCACUCCCUCACACCCUUCUCCUACCUCUCCCCACGAAAAUACUGCUCCCCUAGCUUCCAUGGCCGGCCAUGGCCAUGGAAAGCCACCAAGAUGAAGCUCCCCUUCUCCCUCAAGCUUCCCCUCACCAUGAGAGCCUCCCUCUCCAUCUUCUCCCCAACCCUAGAUGGUUUAAUCUCAUCUUCUUCUUCCUCCAUUGCUAAGAUUGGAUCUUGAUGCAGGUGCAUGUUGAUCCAAGCAUGGAGAAGCUUGAGCAAUCCUCAGAUCUGAAGUUCUUGAGCAAAAUCCAAAUCGAGUGAUUCAAAGUUCCGCGGAUAGGUAUUCAAAAGAUCUACAACUUGGCGUUGGUCUCAUCCUCAAAUUCGUUACAGAUACUCCCUGAUCAAAAUCUGGUCAGAUCUGACUUUGUCGAAUUAAACCAGGAGCUUGGAAACGAAUUUUGGAAUGAAACCAAUUGGCUUGAGUUUUCAAAUGAUGUGUGAUGGCGUGUAUUUCACACGUUCGUUGGGCAACCCCAAGAGGAAGGUAUGAUGCGCACAGCAGCAAGUUUUCCCUCAGAAAGAAACCAAGGUUUAUCGAACCAGGAGGAGCCAAGAAGCACGUUGAAGGUUGAUGGCGGCGAGAUGUAGUGCGGCGCAACACCAGGGAUUCUGGCGCCAACGUGGAACCUGCACAACACAACCAAAGUACUUUGCCCCAACGAAACAGUGAGGUUGUCAAUCUCACCGGCUUGCUGUAACAAAGAGUUAACCGUAUUGUGUGGAAGAUGAUUGUUUGCAGAAAACAGUAGAACAAGUAUUGCAGUAGAUUGUAUUUCAGUAAAGAGAGUUGGACCGGGGUCCACAGUUCACUAGAGGUGUCUCUCCCAUAAGACGAACAGCAUGUUGGGUGAACAAAUUACA
This is a long non-coding RNA of Lolium perenne, 1217 nucleotides long. RefSeq lists it as uncharacterized. The record is from RefSeq and is a predicted model, not a curated record. Lineage: Eukaryota; Viridiplantae; Streptophyta; Magnoliopsida; Poales; Poaceae.